Molecule: ribosomal RNA, 253 nt
Filed under: uncultured bacterium
Lineage: Bacteria
Description: partial 16S ribosomal RNA
Rfam family: Bacterial small subunit ribosomal RNA
Source: RNAcentral
UACAGAGGGGGCAAGCGUUGUUCGGAAUUACUGGGCGUAAAGGGUUUGUAGGUGGCCUGCUAAGUCAGACGUGAAAUCCCUCAGCUUAACUGGGGAACUGCGUCUGAUACUGGCGGGCUUGAGGACAGGAGAGGAACGCGGAAUUCCAGGUGUAGCGGUGAAAUGCGUAGAUAUCUGGAGGAACACCGGUGGCGAAGGCGGCGUUCUGGACUGUUUCUGACACUGAAAAACGAAAGCCAGGGGAGCAAACGGG